Strongylocentrotus purpuratus (purple sea urchin) is the source of this 99-nucleotide non-coding RNA. Lineage: Eukaryota; Metazoa; Echinodermata; Echinoidea; Camarodonta; Strongylocentrotidae. The record is from Rfam.
GAGCUAUGAUGAAUUUUAUUCCUAUCAUUCGCAGUUUCCACCAUAAAGACUUUUUAGUCUUAAUGAUGGCUGAAGAUCCUUCCUUGGAUGUCUGAGCUC